RNAcentral lists this long non-coding RNA (1521 nucleotides) under Salvator merianae (Argentine black and white tegu). RNAcentral's name for it is "lncRNA (ENSSMRG00000018542.1)". Lineage: Eukaryota; Metazoa; Chordata; Lepidosauria; Squamata; Teiidae. The record is from RNAcentral.
GAAAGGUAAUAUUUGAAGAGGGACGGAGGGUGGUAAAAUCUGUCAAUACCUUAAAUAAAGGCAAGGCAGUUUAGUCACGUUAUCUGCCGCCCUGCUAGCUGGUGCAUUGCCACCACGCCAAUCAAGACCCAUGCUAUUUUUGUGCCUCCUUCCGGGGGGGGGGGGAGAGAGAAGAGACAAGCCGUAAAAUUAGAAACUAUAAUGCUGCCAGUUCAGGAAACAAGCUAGAUGCAUAUCUACACCAAUCCAAGAAUGUUGUGCUUGCCAACGCUACAACUUCAUUAGUCUAAAAAGAGAAACAUGCCCCAACAGUGAUUAAAACCAGAUCCUGGCCCGAUUUACAUCUCACACCCUUUAAAUGUCAAACUUCCAAUUAAAACUGUUGCUUAAUCACAAAGCAAGAGAUUGACACAAGAUUCCAAACAUCAGGGAUUUCUCUUUAAUAACAUUGUUUGAAAAGGCCAGAGCUCCAGAUCAAUGAAAUGGGGAGCAAUACAGCUCCAGCUUUUCCUGAUUAAGGUUAGUAGUUGCCGCCUCCUGCCCCUGCAGACUUUGGUCUGGCUGCUCUUCUCUUCCAGUCAUGGAAAANAUAUAAAUUGAAUUAGAAAUUUUCAUCAAGGAAAAACUGUGAAACAGACAGCCAGGACAAUCCAGUAAAUUUGCUGGCAGAAGAGUCUUUGGAACAGCAGAGGAAGAAGCCAUCAUAAACCUCAUGGAUUGAAAACUUUACAGUUGACAGGAUGCUGGAAAAGGGAUUAUGACCACAACUGGGCAUUCGGCCUCAGGCAACAUCUCAACAGCACACGCAGAGGUUGCCGGUUCAUUCCUCAGGAUCCUCAGAAAGGUCUGGAAAAGACUGAAGAGCCAAUACAUGCAUCAACAAGGCACAGGCCGAUACUGCUGUCCAUCAGGACAUGAUCUCUUUCAGGACAUCAAAUGAGCCAGAUGCACAGUUCAACAACCAGACACUUCAAGUCAUAACAAGUUAGUGAAGCGACAAAUUCUGCUUGUAAAAGAAUUAGCCUUUAUUUGCCUUGAUUACUCGGUUUUGCCCGGCAUAGUCUUUUCUAGCAGCUGUAACUCUGCUGACUUUACAGAUUGGAACGCAUUACUAGUGGGUUGUGUGGUUUCUAGGGAGCAGGGCUUGCUAAAGAGGACUUACCUAAGCUAAAAGAGAAAUGAAUGGAGCAAAAGUCAAAAAUGCCGUGUUGACAAUUCUGUGAUAUAAUGUAUUUUGAAAGAGACUAGCCUAAUUUGCAUUGCUUGUUUAUAUAGUAUGGAUACUUGUUUUUGAAGCUUAAAUCCUGCAAACACUUUUUGGAUAGCUUUGCACAUGUGUGUAUGUGAUUGAGAAAAGUCUGUACCCCCCACACCCAGAUUUCAUAUUUAAAAGUACUGAAUUGUAUUGCAUAUUGACAUUUGGGCUCGUAUAUUGGUUUUGUAUUUUGACUGUUUAUUAAUUACAUUAUUUUGAUUGUUUAAUAAUUGCUUAUCUUAUAAACCACCUUGAUACAAAUAAAC